AAGAACAGUCAAAUGGUGAGAGUGCAAAACCUCGAAAAGUUGGCAGCACUCCAUCAUAUGGUUUCACCUUCAAGUGUGACGAGAGAUCUGAAAAAAGAAGAGAGGUAACACUGUCUUUAGCUGUUUUAUUUGCUGAUUGCAUUUUGAAAUAUGCUUUUGCCAACUUUGUUUACCCAAUUCUGCAAUCAAACAGUUCUAUUCGAAGCUUGAGGAGAAGAUUCAAGCAAGAGAGUUAGAAAUAAGCAAUUUGCAAGAGAAAUCAAAGGUACCCUUAUGUUCCUUUCUUUUGGGAAAUGCUGCCUUCCAACAUCACAUCUCUUAUGUUGCUUGCUGAUAUAUUUCUGUAAAAUGCACAGGAAACUGAAGAAGCAGAACUCAAAAUGUUGAGAAAGAGUUUGAAUUUCAAGGCAACACCAAUGCCAAGCUUCUAUAAGGAACCAACUCCUGCCAAGGUUGAAUUGAAAAAGGUAACUUAGUGAUCAUGUCAUGGCUAGCUACAGUAUCUUAUACUUUGAGUGAACUCAUGACUGACAUGCCUUAUGAGCAUGUGUGGAAUCAUCACUCAUACAGUGUAAAUUCCAUCAGUUUUAGUCACCAACAGCCUUUCCUGCCUUUUCGGAAUAUAUAUUUCACACAAUCAUUUUAAAAGAGGAGGUGAAGUUGAAACUACCAUAUAGUUUAGCUGGAACCUGGAAGCCUUAUUUUUUUUCUGAUGUAAAAACCUGGUAUCUGAGUGGAGAUUGUAACCGCAGUUGGUACUUUGUUUUUCUCUAUUUAUGACUUUAUAUUGUCAUCAUUCUUUGGUGUUUUGCUGAUAUGAUUGUUUAGUCCACAUAUUGCAUUUAAAAUUAGCCAAGCAUUGCACCAGAAAACCUUGUCAAAAAUGGAUGAGGAGCCAAAUUAUACUCAGCAACUACCAGGCUUGCAUAACAGACUAGAUACUCAAAUGUAUCUUACGAAUUUAGUUUUGAUAUGUGUAGUAGAAGCUAACGGGCCUGCUAUCUUACUGAUUAGCAGGGCUCAAGUAGCACUCAAGGUCCUGGGUUCGACCCCCUUUGUCGGCUGUGGUCCUGAGUUAUAUGUGUAACCACCUUAGUUGCUUUCAGCGAGAGUGCGCAUGGACACAAGCAUGUGUACUGGGCACUCGGUGGCAUGUCUAUGGCAGCCGCAGCCGCAGCCGCUCUUUGGGUUGUUUUUCUGUCUGAGCACGAGAAGCUUCUUAAAUCUUAAAGCAAUGCCGUGGUGGGGCAGUUUUUCCUCUGCAUGUCUUUUUGAUAUGUGUAGUAGAAGAGUCUUUCUUUUGUCUACAUGCACAUAUACUACUGGACAAAUAUGGAGUUUGUAUUUCAAACAAAUCUCAUGUGUUUCGGCAUUGAUAUUUGUUGUAGACCCCCCCAACCAGAGCUAAAUCACCAAAGCUUGGUCGUUCUAAAAACAAGUCCACACCAGAGACUGAAGAAAAUACUACUAUGGACCAAUCUGCCCGUCUGAGCCUUGAGGAAAAGGUUUCUCAAAAUGGUGUGAAAAAAUCAACCCCGUUGAAUUCAGCAAAGAAGCCCCAGAGGAAGUCACUCCCCAGACUGCCAUCUGAAGAAACUGGUCCGCUCGAUGCCACCUCAAGGCAGCUAAAGAACACCAAACUGAAUGCAGUUAAUACUCAGGAGACAGGAUCUGCUACAGAACAGGUACAAGGAAGUGAGACGAAAACAGAUUCUGUUCAGGGGCCAAUUGAAGCUGGAGCUAAUCCUGAUGAACAAGACGUCGCCGAACAGAGUGUCGUUUACUGAAGAUCACGGUGACCAAAAUCAACUGAUUUGUGAUGGAUGGUGGUGUGCCUCAUCUUUGUAUAAUAUUGUGCUUGCCUGCUAGAGUACCUUGUGCCUGUAUUAUGUUAUGUGAUAUAUACUCCUGUUUGUUUUCCUGGAAUUGAGCCUUGUAUGCUGUUUAUCAAUCUAGAAAGCUUUUGUUCAUAAUCUACAGAGAUAUCCAAAUUGCCCAAAGUCAUUUGCAGUUGGUGGCAAAUGCAUUCAUCAUAACCUCCUAAUACAGCAAGUCCUAGCGGUAGUGCCUGCAAAUGAUAACAUCCUAAUUCUGCAGCCCUGAUUAAUGAGAUUUCAUUUCAAUAUCCAGGGCUCUAGGCCAUAGCAAGAGAAUACUGAACCUGAACUUGUGGUCUUGCACCAAUUUUUUUUUAAAAAAAACUUUUUGCCUGUGUACUUGAAACUGCUUCGUACCUUAGAACCUGUGCCUCCUAAUCCAAAUGUACCUUUUUAUUUUUCAGAAUUAACCCCUUCUGUGAUGAAGAAUCCCCUGAUCUAGUUAGGAUUGACAUUCUACUGAACUACUCACCGGAUUUCAGACUGAAUGACUAGCUCGAUGAGAACACCUCUAGAAAAUGCUGAUUAAAAGUAGUUUCAGGUUAUUUGCAGAAGUUUUUUUCCCCUCAUCAGGCGAGCUCACUAAUUGAUAAUUUGAACUUCGAUUGUGUACUGGAUAUUUGUCAUCUGCGUAACGUGCCUAUUUUUAUCCGCAGAAAGCUAGAGAGUGGGCAAAAUCAGCACUCCUACCUAAUGGCCUUGGAACUUGCCUGCUAAUCGAUGAGUGGCUGUGGCUCCUGUAGUCUGAGAUAUGCUGCCGGAUGGAGCUUGAACAGGUGCUCUCUUCAGUUUGUCAUGUGCAAUGCUAAGCUCCAGCGAACAGAGCAUCAUCGGUCGUUUCGAUGAUUGAAACCUCUUGGUGGUCACUUCGCUGUAUCGAGUGGAAUCAUUAGCUUCUUGUUCUCGUUUGUAUCAUUAGCUUCCUGUUCUCGUUCGCUGCCGAUGCAUCAUAAUUUGCUGUUAGCACGAAUCUGAAUCGCACGUGAACAACACGCAAAAAUAUGUAAUUGGUACAUACAAAUAAAAAUAGGUUUAAGAGCACUUACAAUGUGCAUUUUUAUUUUUACAAUUUCCAGAAUUUAACUUUUGGACAGUGUUUUCACGUAAUAUAUCAUUUUUAUAUAGCUACUAAUAUAGUUUUUUUUUGUACACUUGAUAUGCUUGCAAUUUAACUUUAUUUUCCUCAAAAAACAUAUGCUGUGACUAAACCUGACAGUGGGUUGAGAUCCAAACCAAACCCACACCAAUCCAAAACAUAUAUAUGUGAAAGUUAAAUCCAAACCAAAUUAGACCAUGACUUCAAUCAUCCACACCAAACCAAACCACUUAUGCGCUACACCCAUUAAAAUAUAUUUCCAACCCACCAUUUCACCGGCACCUCAUGCUAUUGUUUAUAUUUAGCCAUAAACAACAGCAAAAAAUAAAUAAAUAGAAUAAAAAAUUAUUAUAAACUCUAUUAUUUAGAGCCAAACCAGUUCAGCCCACUUUAAUAGGGCCCAAACCAAACUGGUCUAACAGUCUUUUCAGCCCGUUUCAAUCCAAACCAAUACAGCCUAAAAAUAAAACCAAACUAAAAAACCGGUUUUAACCUAAACCAUUGUCAGGUUUAGCUGUGACUUUUUCAAACAAAUUAUGCCUCGGACUUUCGAACAAACGGAC
This 3536-nucleotide long non-coding RNA is filed under the name Sorghum bicolor (sorghum). RNAcentral's name for it is "long non-coding RNA (SBIC_LNC006009)". The record is from RNAcentral. Lineage: Eukaryota; Viridiplantae; Streptophyta; Magnoliopsida; Poales; Poaceae.